This 468-nucleotide ribosomal RNA is filed under the name uncultured bacterium. RNAcentral describes it as "partial 16S ribosomal RNA". It matches the Rfam family "Bacterial small subunit ribosomal RNA", at positions 28 to 507 of the family's 1533-position model. The record is from RNAcentral.
GACGAACGCUGGCGGCGUGCUUAACACAUGCAAGUCGAACGGAAAGGCCCUGCUUUUGUGGGGUGCUCGAGUGGCGAACGGGUGAGUAACACGUGAGUAACCUGCCCUUGACUUUGGGAUAACUUCAGGAAACUGGGGCUAAUACCGGAUAGGAGCUCCUGCUGCAUGGUGGGGGUUGGAAAGUUUCGGCGGUUGGGGAUGGACUCGCGGCUUAUCAGCUUGUUGGUGGGGUAGUGGCUCACCAAGGCUUUGACGGGUAGCCGGCCUGAGAGGGUGACCGGCCACAUUGGGACUGAGAUACGGCCCAGACUCCUACGGGAGGCAGCAGUGGGGAAUAUUGCACAAUGGGCGGAAGCCUGAUGCAGCAACGCCGUGUGCGGGAUGACGGCCUUCGGGUUGUAAACCGCUUUCGCCUGUGACGAAGCGUGAGUGACGGUAAUGGGUAAAGAAGCACCGGCUAACUACGUG